GGUUGACCUCGGAUCAGGUAGGGAUACCCGCUGAACUUAAGCAUAUCAAUAAGCGGAGGAAAAGAAACCAACAGGGAUUGCCUUAGUAACGGCGAGUGAAGCGGCAACAGCUCAAAUUUGAAAGCUGGCCCUUUUAGGGUCCGCGUUGUAAUUUGUAGAGGAUGAUUCGGCGAGGGCUCCCGCCUAAGUCCCCUGGAACGGGGCGUCAUAGAGGGUGAGAAUCCCGUAUGCGGUGGGCUGCCUUAGCCAUGUGAAUCUCCUUCGACGAGUCGAGUUGUUUGGGAAUGCAGCUCUAAAUGGGAGGUAAAUUUCUUCUAAAGCUAAAUACCGGCCAGAGACCGAUAGCGCACAAGUAGAGUGAUCGAAAGAUGAAAAGCACUUUGGAAAGAGAGUUAAAAAGUACGUGAAAUUGUUGAAAGGGAAGCGCUUGCAACCAGACUUGUCCGCAGUUGCUCAGCCGGUCUCCUGACCGGCGUACUCUUCUGCGGCCAGGCCAGCAUCAGUUCGGGCGGUCGGAUAAAGACCUCGGGAAUGUAGCUCCUCUCGGGGAGUGUUAUAGCCCGGGGUGGAAUGCGGCCAGCCUGGACUGAGGAUCUCGCUUCGGCAAGGAUGCUGGCGUAAUGGUUGUAAGCGGCCCGUCUUGAAACACGGACCAAGGAGUCUAACAUCUAUGCGAGUGUUUGGGUGUCAAACCCAUACGCGUAAUGAAAGUGAACGGAGGUGGGAACCCGCAAGGGCGCACCAUCGGCCGAUCCUGAUGUCUUCGGAUGGAUUUGAGCAAGAGCAUAGCUGUUGGGACCCGAAAGAUGGUGAACUAUGCCUGAAUAGGGUGAAGCCAGAGGAAACUCUGGUGGAGGCUCGCAGCGGUUCUGACGUGCAAAUCGAUCGUCAAAUUUGGGUAUAGGGGCGAAAGACUAAUCGAACCAUCUAGUAGCUGGUUCCUGCCGAAGUUUCCCUCAGGA
RNAcentral lists this ribosomal RNA (962 nucleotides) under Sphaeropsis porosa. Its description in RNAcentral is "eukaryotic LSU rRNA". It matches the Rfam family "Eukaryotic large subunit ribosomal RNA", at positions 1 to 978 of the family's 3401-position model. The record is from RNAcentral. Lineage: Eukaryota; Fungi; Ascomycota; Dothideomycetes; Botryosphaeriales; Botryosphaeriaceae.